Molecule: long non-coding RNA, 1221 nt
Filed under: Salmo salar (Atlantic salmon)
Lineage: Eukaryota; Metazoa; Chordata; Actinopteri; Salmoniformes; Salmonidae
Description: lncRNA (ENSSSAG00000083401.1, ENSSSAG00000103629.1)
Source: RNAcentral
GUGAGUCCAUUUGCGUGUCAUUGUUGUUGAUAGUGUCAAAGCCACAGCCUACGCUUCUGCCUCUGUGAUUGCCAGCCAGGGACAAUAAACUGGUGUCAUCUCAGAUAUUGUAUGUCGUUUGUGUUUAGUGUAGGGGCGGCAGGAAGCCUAGCGCCAGUUAGCCUAGCGGUUAGAGCAGGUAGCCUUGUGGUUAGAGCAGGUAGCCUAGUGGCAGGUAGCCUAGCGGUUAGAGCAGGUAGCCUAGCGGUUAGAGCAGGUUACCUAGUGGUUAGAGGCAGGUAGCCUAGUGGUUAGAGCAGGUAGCCUAGUGGUUAGAGGCAGGUAACCUAGUGGUUAGAGCAGGUAGCCUAGUGGUUAGAGCAGGUAGCCUAGUGGUUAGAGGCAGGUAGCCUAGUGGUUAGAGGCAGGUAGCCUAGUGGUUAGAGGCAGGUAGCCUAGUGGUUAGAGGCAGGUAGCCUAGUGGUUAGAGCAGGUAGCCUAGUGGUUAGAGCAGGUAGCCUAGUGGUUAGAGGCAGGUAGCCUAGUGGUUAGAGGCAGGUAGCCUAGUGGUUAGAGGCAGGUAACCUAGUGGUUCGAGCAGGUAGCCUAGUGGUUAGAGGCAGGUAGCCUAGUGGUUAGAGGCAGGUAGCCUAGUGGUUAGAGCAGGUAGCCUAGUGGUUAGAGCAGGUAGCCUAGUGGUUAGAGGCAGGUAGCCUAGUGGUUAGAGGCAGGUAGCCUAGUGGUUAGAGCAGGUAGCCUAGUGGUUAGAGGCAGGUAGCCUAGUGGUUAGAGGCAGGUAGCCUAGUGGUUAGAGGCAGGUAACCUAGUGGUUAGAGGCAGGUAGCCUAGUGGUUAGAGGCAGGUAGCCUAGUGGUUAGAGGCAGGUAGCCUAGUGGUUAGAGGCAGGUAGCCUAGUGGUUAGAGCAGGUAACCUAGUGGUUAGAGGCAGGUAACCUAGUGGUUAGAGCAGGUAGCCUAGUGGUUAGAGCAGGUAGCCUAGUGGUUAGAGCAGGUAGACUAGUGGUUAGAGCAGGUAGCCUAGUGGUUAGAGCAUGUAGCCUAGUGGUUAGAGGCAGGUAGCCUAGUGGUUAGAGCAGGUAGCCUAGUGGUUAGAGCAGGUAGCCUAGUGGUUAGAGCAGGUAGCCUAGUGGUUAGAGCAGGUAGCUUAGUGGUUAGAGACAGGUAGCCUCGUGGUUAGAGACAGGUAGCCUAGUGGUUAGAGGCAGGUAGCCUAGUGGUUAG